GCCCUAUCCCCUUUCCUAAGCAACAAGAAGUCAAUCUGGGUCCUGGCUACCGCGCUCCGAAAAGUGAUACAAAAAGUCAAUCUUAGUCCUGGCUACCGCGCUUCGAAAGGUGAUCAGGUGCUCGUCCUUCUUCGGGAAGCCCGAGUUCACCACCACUAGCCCAAAGGCCCUCGCAAACUCCAGUAGGGUCGCCCCCUCGUCAUUUCUCUCCCCAAAACCAAAACCCCCAUGCACGUCACCAAAGCCUCCCGGUAGCGCCCCGAUGUGCCCGUUGAAAUCCCCUGCUACAACAAUCUUCUCCGAACUAGGCACGCCUCUCACCACCUCCUCCAAAGCCUCCCAAAAUCGCAUCUUCUCCUCCCCCUCCGAUCCCACUUGCGGCGCAUAAGCACUACACACGUUCAGGGUAAACCCCCGAACAACCAACUUAAUAGUCAUCAACCUAUCGUUGAUCCUCUUCACCUCCACUACCUGACCUCUAAGCUCUUCAUCUACUAAGAUGCCAACUCCAUUCCUACGCCUGUCGCUCCCAGAGUACCACAGAAUAGUUGGGGAUAAUUCAGUUAGCUAACUUACAUACCUGAUAGCUCAAGUAAAAGCAAAAACCUCGAAAAAUCAAAAUAAUUAAGUGUUCUUUUGACCAUUAACUCCACAAUCACAUUAAACGAAAUGGCAAGUAAAUCACAAUCGAGUAUAUGUUGGGUAGGAAAUAGUUGGGGAUAAUUCAGUUAGCAAACUUACGCACUUGAAAGCUCAAGUAGAAGUAAGAACCUCGAAAAAAUCAAAAAAAUAUCAAGUGCAUUUUUGACCAUUAACUCCUCAAUCACAUUAAACAAAAUGACAAUUAAGUCACAAUCGCGUAUAUGUCGGGUAGGAAAUAGUUGGGGAUAAUACAGUUAGCAAACUUACACACCUGAUAGCUCAAGUACAAGUAAGAACCUCGAAAAAUCAAAAUAAUUUUAAGUGUGUUUUUGACCCUUAACUAUACAGUCACAUUAAACAACAUGUCAGGUAGGAAAGGUGAACAAUUGAUAGUUGACGAGUGUUUUGAUAAAUAGUUGGGUAUAAUUCAGUUAGCAAACUUACACGCCUAAUAACUCAAGUAAAAGUAAGAACCUCGAAAAAUC
This 1127-nucleotide long non-coding RNA is filed under the name Capsicum annuum. RNAcentral describes it as "long non-coding RNA (CANN_LNC018409)". Lineage: Eukaryota; Viridiplantae; Streptophyta; Magnoliopsida; Solanales; Solanaceae. The record is from RNAcentral.